This is a long non-coding RNA of Gadus macrocephalus (Pacific cod), 2075 nucleotides long. RefSeq lists it as uncharacterized. NCBI's taxonomy places the organism in Eukaryota, Metazoa, Chordata, Actinopteri, Gadiformes, Gadidae. The record is from RefSeq and is a predicted model, not a curated record. The transcript has 5 exons.
GGAGCCCACAUGGAGGGGGCUGGCACUCCGCCCACAUGGAGGGGGCGGGCACUCAGUCCACAUCGAGGGGGCGGCCACUCAGUUCACAUUGAGGACUGGUCAAACAGCAUCUUUCUUCUUUAGUUUCUGAUCCCGUUUCCGACCUGAAAUUAGCUGAAAUUUACCUGAAAUUAGAGUCUGCCCGCCCGAGCGAGUGAUGCCUAAAACAUGCAAAGACACGUCAGUGUAAUUGUGGAUGGCGAGAGCCCUGAAAUACAGCUGGACAGCAGCGGUCUUCAUCACUGCCCCUUCUGCAGAUACAAAGGGUCAAAAUGUGCUAUCGACUAUCACAUUAAAGGCCAUGCCUCGGUUAAAUACAGAGAGUUCACGAUCAUAAAGUGCGGUUUAGAUUGCAGGAAGAAGACGCACUUUCAUUGUUAUAAUUGUGCAAUAACAAUUAUAGACCGACAACAGAUAUUAAAGCACCUGGAAUCGCACAACACCCCAGAGGGCCCUCCAUUCACCCCAGUGGCCCCUCCAGAGAGACAUGUGGCCCCUCUAGUCACCCCAGUGGCGACUCCAGUUACCCCAGUGGCCCCUCCAGUCACCCCAGAGGCCCCUCCAGUCACCCCAGUGGCCCCUCCAGUCACCCCAGUGGCCCCUCCAGUCACCCCAGUGGCCCCUCCAGUGGCCCCUCCAGUCACCCCAGUUUUUAUUUUUAUAAACAUAAAUAUAAACCACUUCUCCUAAUUUACAGUACGCAAUGUACAUUGUCAUGGAUGGAAGGUGGGACUUUGCUGAGUCAAACAUGAAGCAAAUACGGCAAUGGUGGUGCCUUGUUCUUUUGAAGAACUUCCCCAUGCCGUAAGUGUCUUAGAUUGGGUUUAACGUUUCCUUUACAGUUCUGAAAUCUGUUUUAUUUCCAGACAAAACUGAAGACCAGGAACUGGAACCUGGGAACCUGGAAGAUGAUGUUGUCCUGAAGGACACAAUUCAGGCAGCAGCAUGGUGCCAAUUACAGUCCUUCAAGGACAGCGUUUCUCUCCCAGAGGUCAUUGGGAUGGAAGGUUGGGAGCAGAUGGCAGCAUCAACACAGCGCAAAUCCCAUGACGGCGGGGAUGAGGAAGAAACGUGGAAACCAUUCAAAUUCUCAUUCAGAUUACAUACUGACUAUGAACUGUUCUGUGUGGAGAUGAUGGACAGGAGAAACCUGAAGGUGUUUGCCUCUUUUGAGUCAAACAUCUCUCCCCGUCCCCCUCCCCGUGACGCCUGCGCCACACAACUCCAAUGUAGUCUGAUGAUGCAGCAUAAUGGCGGCGCUUGGCAGCUAUGGCGGCGGUGACGGCGAUGUCGGGCGACAGAGCGUGAAGCGAGAGUGGCGUCCACCUCACUGAGGAAGGCGUCAGUGUGUUCCCCCCCCCCCCCCCCCCCCGUUGAGACUUUGUUUGUUCUACUCUUUAUUGAUUUAUCUUUUAUGUUAAUAGUUUACAAUCUAUUUUUCGUAGCUGUUAUUUUUUAAUUGUUUCGUUGAAUAAAAAGACUGUUGUUAGUGCUCCUGUGAUUGGUGUAACUUAAUGUGCUUCACACAUGUAGCUUUUCAUUAUGUCUAUUGAGGUACAUUUUUUGCCCUUAGAUGUGGUCACUUCGUUAUUCCUCACAUUACAUCUGUUAAGGUCAUACCUUGGGGUCCCAGUCUUCAUAGUUCCCCAAAUCUUAUUUUGGCUCUUACUGGGCCUGUAACUCUCACAGACAGACGGGUACAGGAGUUCGCACACGUUGCAUUGUUACAGGCAAGGGUGGAUUACCGCACGGGCACACCGGGCACAUGCCCAGGGGCCCAAGGGCGGUGGGGGGCCCUAAGCCAGAGCUUCUGUGUGAAGUCGCUGUUAGUAACUUUUAAUGUGGCAUUGUCGAAACAAUCAGUAGAGAAAUACAAAAAUUCAAGUGAAAACAGCAAUAGUAGGCCUAUUAAUACUGAGUAAAAAAAAAAAAAAGAUCACUAGGGGGCACUAUUUCACUUAGUGAAUUUGAGACAGGUCACGAACAAGGCACUGUGAUUUAAACAUGGAGCAACGGCGAGCGGUUGUAACGUGAAC